RNAcentral lists this ribosomal RNA (660 nucleotides) under uncultured microorganism. RNAcentral's name for it is "SSU rRNA". It matches the Rfam family "Bacterial small subunit ribosomal RNA", at positions 152 to 811 of the family's 1533-position model. The record is from RNAcentral.
UCAAACUCUAAUUAAUACCUUAUGGUAUCACAGAUAGGCAUCUUGAAGUGAUUAAAGAUUUAUCGGUACAGGAUGAGCAUGCGUAAGAUUAGAUAGUUGGUGAGGUAACGGCUCACCAAGUCGACGAUCUUUAGGGGUUCUGAGAGGAUGAUCCCCCACACUGGUACUGAGAUACGGACCAGACUCCUACGGGAGGCAGCAGUAGGGAAUAUUGGUCAAUGGGCGAGAGCCUGAACCAGCCAUGCCGCGUGCAGGAUGACAGCCUUCUGGGUUGUAAACUGCUUUUAUAUGGGAAGAAAAAGGCCUUGCGAGGCAAAUUGCCGGUACCAUAUGAAUAAGCACCGGCUAACUCCGUGCCAGCAGCCGCGGUAAUACGGAGGGUGCAAGCGUUGUCCGGAUUUAUUGGGUUUAAAGGGUACGUAGGCGGAUCUUUAAGUCCGUGGUGAAAGCCUGCAGCUUAACUGUAGAACUGCCAUGGAUACUGGAGAUCUUGAAUUCAGUUGAGGUAAGCGGAAUUUAUGAUGUAGCGGUGAAAUGCAUAGAUAUCAUAAAGAACACCUAUUGCGAAGGCAGCUUGCUGGACUUGGAUUGACGCUGAGGUACGAAAGCGUGGGGAGCGAACAGGAUUAGAUACCCUGGUAGUCCACGCCGUAAACGAUG